This 22-nucleotide microRNA is filed under the name Whispovirus xiabaidian. Lineage: Naldaviricetes; Nimaviridae. The record is from RNAcentral.
UCUGUUGCUCCAGAAACGUACA